Molecule: ribosomal RNA, 579 nt
Filed under: uncultured archaeon
Lineage: Archaea
Description: bacterial SSU rRNA
Rfam family: Archaeal small subunit ribosomal RNA
Source: RNAcentral
UUGACCUGCGGAGAUGACCGUAUCAUGUUCGACUUAUCCAUGCGAGCCGUGAGGUGCAAGACCUCGGCGUACUGCUGAGUAACACGUAGCUAAUCUAAUCUGAAGUUAGGGAUAAACCUGCGAAAGUGGGCUCAAUACCUUAUAUUCUGCGAAGGCUGGAAUGCAUUGCAGAAGAAAGCUUCGGCGCUUCAGAAUGAGGCUGCGACGUAUCAGGCUGUGUCGGUGUAAUGAACCGACAAACCAAUAACGCGUAGGGGCUAUGAGAGUAGAAGCCUCCAGAUGCCUUCUGAGACAUGAAGGCAGGUCCUACGGGACGCAGCAGGAGCGAAACCUUCCCAAUUCGUUAACGCGUGAGGAGGGAACCCUGAGUGGUUAUACUUUUUGUAUAACCUUUUGCUAAGUCCAAACAGCUUGGCGAAUAAGGGCCGGGCAAGACGGGUGCCAGCCGCCGCGGUAAUACCCGCGGNCCAAAUGGUCAUCACGAUUAUUGUGUCUAAAGCGAACGUAGCCGGUUUGACAAGUUCCUGGUGAAAUCUGGCAGCUAACUGUCAGGCGUGCUGGGAAAACUAUCAGACUUGA